This 407-nucleotide ribosomal RNA is filed under the name uncultured bacterium. RNAcentral describes it as "partial 16S ribosomal RNA". It matches the Rfam family "Bacterial small subunit ribosomal RNA", at positions 30 to 526 of the family's 1533-position model. The record is from RNAcentral.
AUUGAACGCUGGCGGCAUGCUUUACACAUGCAAGUCGGACGGAGUGGCGAACGGGUGAGUAAUAUAUUGGAACGUACCGAGUAAUGGGGGAUAACGUUCGGAAACGGACGCUAAUACCGCAUACUAUCAGAUGAGCCUAGGUCGGAUUAGCUCGUUGGUGAGGUAAUGGCUCACCAAGGCUACGAUCCGUAACUGGUCUGAGAGGAUGAUCAGUCACACUGGAACUGAGACACGGUCCAGACGCCUACGGGAGGCAGCAGUGGGGAAUAUUGGACAAUGGGCGAAAGCCUGAUCCAGCCAUGCCGCGUGUGUGAAGAAGGUCUUCGGAUUGUAAAGCACUUUCAGCGGGGAGGCGUUACCCGCAGAAGAAGCACCGGCUAACUCCGUGCCAGCAGCCGCGGUAAUUC